This 254-nucleotide ribosomal RNA is filed under the name uncultured bacterium. RNAcentral describes it as "partial 16S ribosomal RNA". It matches the Rfam family "Bacterial small subunit ribosomal RNA", at positions 524 to 776 of the family's 1533-position model. The record is from RNAcentral.
UACAGAGGUGGCAAGCGUUGUUCGGAAUUACUGGGCGUAAAGGGCGCGUAGGCGGUCCUCUAAGUCUUGUGUGAAAUCCCUCGGCUCAACUGAGGAACUGCACGGGAUACUGGAAGACUUGAGUUCGGGAGAGGGAAGCGGAAUUCCGGGUGUAGCGGUGAAAUGCGUAGAUAUCCGGAGGAACACCGGUGGCGAAGGCGGCUUCCUGGACCGAUUACUGACGCUGAGGCGCGAAAGCUAGGGGAGCAAACGGG